ACCGCAUACGCCCUACGGGGGAAAGCAGGGGAUCUUCGGACCUUGCGCUAAUAGAUGAGCCUAAGUCGGAUUAGCUAGUUGGUGGGGUAAAGGCCUACCAAGGCGACGAUCUGUAGCGGGUUUGAGAGGAUGAUCCGCCACACUGGGACUGAGACACGGCCCAGACUCCUACGGGAGGCAGCAGUGGGGAAUAUUGGACAAUGGGCGCAAGCCUGAUCCAGCCAUGCCGCGUGUGUGAAGAAGGCCUUAUGGUUGUAAAGCACUUUAAGCGAGGAGGAGGCUUACCUAGCUAAUAUCUAGGCUAAGUGGACGUUACUCGCAGAAUAAGCACCGGCUAACUCUGUGCCAGCAGCCGCGGUAAUACAGAGGGUGCAAGCGUUAAUCGGAAUUACUGGGCGUAAAGCGCGCGUAGGUGGCCAUUUAAGUCAAAUGUGAAAUCCCCGAGCUUAACUUGGGAAUUGCAUUCGAUACUGGAUGGCUAGAGUAUAGGAGAGGAAGGUAGAAUUCCAGGUGUAGCGGUGAAAUGCGUAGAGAUCUGGAGGAAUACCGAUGGCGAAGGCAGCCUUCUGGCCUAAUACUGACACUGAGGUGCGAAAGCAUGGGGAGCAAACAGGAUUAGAUACCCUGGUAGUCCAUGCCGUAAACGAUGUCUACUAGCCGUUGGGUCCUUUGAGGACUUAGUGGCGCAGCUAACGCGAUAAGUAGACCGCCUGGGGAGUACGGUCGCAAGACUAAAACUCAAAUGAAUUGACGGGGGCCCGCACAAGCGGUGGAGCAUGUGGUUUAAUUCGAUGCAACGCGAAGAACCUUACCUGGCCUUGACAUACUAAGAACUUUCUUAGAGAUAGAUUGGUGCCUUCGGGAACUUAGAUACAGGUGCUGCAUGGCUGUCGUCAGCUCGUGUCGUGAGAUGUUGGGUUAAGUCCCGCAACGAGCGCAACCCUUUUCCUUACUUGCCAGCAUUUCGGAUGGGAACUUUAAGGAUACUGCCAGUGACAAACUGGAGGAAGGCGGGGACGACGUCAAGUCAUCAUGGCCCUUACGGCCAGGGCUACACACGUGCUACAAUGGUCGGUACAGAGGGUUGCUACACAGCGUUGUGAUGCUAAUCUCAAAAAGCCGAUCGUAGUCCGGAUUGGAGUCUGCAACUCGACUCCAUGAAGUCGGAAUCGCUAGU
This 1177-nucleotide ribosomal RNA is filed under the name Acinetobacter nectaris. RNAcentral's name for it is "bacterial SSU rRNA". It matches the Rfam family "Bacterial small subunit ribosomal RNA", at positions 168 to 1339 of the family's 1533-position model. Lineage: Bacteria; Pseudomonadati; Pseudomonadota; Gammaproteobacteria; Moraxellales; Moraxellaceae. The record is from RNAcentral.